This 237-nucleotide ribosomal RNA is filed under the name uncultured bacterium. RNAcentral describes it as "partial 16S ribosomal RNA". It matches the Rfam family "Bacterial small subunit ribosomal RNA", at positions 99 to 339 of the family's 1533-position model. The record is from RNAcentral.
CGGACGGGUGAGUAACGCGUAGGAAUAUACCUUAAAGUGGGGGAUAACUUGGGGAAACACAAGCUAAUACCGCGUAAGCUCUACGGAGUAAAGCAGGGGACCUUCGGGCCUUGCGCUUUAAGAAUAGCCUGCGUCUGAUUAGCUAGUUGGUGAGGUAAUGGCUUACCAAGGCGACGAUCAGUAGCUGGUCUGAGAGGAUGAUCAGCCACACUGGUACUGAGACACGGACCAGACUCC